Molecule: ribosomal RNA, 253 nt
Filed under: uncultured bacterium
Lineage: Bacteria
Description: partial 16S ribosomal RNA
Rfam family: Bacterial small subunit ribosomal RNA
Source: RNAcentral
UACGUAGGUGGCAAGCGUUAUCCGGAUUUAUUGGGCGUAAAGGGAACGCAGGCGGUCCUUUAAGUCUGAUGUGAAAGCCUUCGGCUUAACCGGAGUAGUGCAUUGGAAACUGGGAGACUUGAGUGCAGAAGAGGAGAGUGGAACUCCAUGUGUAGCGGUGAAAUGCGUAGAUAUCAGGAGGAACACCGGUGGCGAAGGCGGCCUGCUGGACUGCAACUGACGUUGAGGCCCGAAAGCGUGGGGAGCAAACAGG